UACGAAGGGGGCUAGCGUUGCUCGGAAUUACUGGGCGUAAAGCGCACGUAGGCGGAUCUUUAAGUCAGGGGUGAAAUCCUGGAGCUCAACUCCAGAACUGCCUUUGAUACUGAGGACCUUGAGUUCGGGAGAGGUGAGUGGAACUGCGAGUGUAGAGGUGAAAUUCGUAGAUAUUCGCAAGAACACCAGUGGCGAAGGCGGCUCACUGGCCCGAUACUGACGCUGAGGAGCGAAAGUGUGGGGAGCGAACAGG
RNAcentral lists this ribosomal RNA (253 nucleotides) under uncultured bacterium. RNAcentral's name for it is "partial 16S ribosomal RNA". It matches the Rfam family "Bacterial small subunit ribosomal RNA", at positions 524 to 776 of the family's 1533-position model. The record is from RNAcentral.